AAAACGUUGCUCGCCCAUUCUUUCCAUGAGACAUUUGUGAUUUAAGCUUUAAGAGUCUUUGUGAGAUGAUUCUCCCCUCUUCCUAUUGCAGUAGACUUCUUAAUAAAAUGUUUCCAUGUUCGUGUCCAGAUUAGACGGUUUACUAUAGUGGUAAUGAUGCCAUAACUUGAACAAAAUUCUGACUGCCCCUCAACUGUCUUUUUUCUACAACUUACUGUGACUUGGACAGUAUGCUGACUUCCAUCCCUUUCUCUUCACCCAAGUGAUGAUGCUACCUUAUUGAACUCUUUGAAACCUGACUUGGAAAGCAAAAUCGAAAAUGAGAAGGGGUUAUAAGAAGCCAGCAUCAGCGGAGAACUGACCCUUACCAGAAGCCUAUUUGCAAGGAGAACACAGGUUCAGUCCUUCUAGAAAUCAACUAGCUACUGGCAAUCAGCCCAAGGGGAAGAACAGGAAACAAAUGUAAGAUGAAGGCCCAUUCUGAAUCAACCCCAAAAGGUUUUUAAAAAGAAGCAUCCAUCCUGGAAUUAUGAG
Long non-coding RNA from Grammomys surdaster, 534 nucleotides. RefSeq lists it as uncharacterized. Lineage: Eukaryota; Metazoa; Chordata; Mammalia; Rodentia; Muridae. The transcript has 3 exons. The record is from RefSeq and is a predicted model, not a curated record.